AAGGUGUUAGCACCCGAAGUGUCCUAGGUACUCCUAGGAAGCCCUUUCUUGUGUGCAUAUGUGUUUUUGUACAAAUGAUGUUUGCACUAAAUAGAAUGAGGUGAUGAGAAAAUAAUUAUUGAUUAUAUUUUUGUGUUUGACAAGAUCUUUGAACUUGUGCCUAUGUACCAACAUAAAAAUGAGGGAUCAAAACCUCGUAGUUCGUGGUAUCAAUUUCAAAAUGAGUGCAUUGCUUUUAAUAAAAAUUUAAGUUUAACAAAGGCACAAAAGGCCUAAAAUGGUUU
RNAcentral lists this long non-coding RNA (284 nucleotides) under Lathyrus oleraceus (garden pea). Its description in RNAcentral is "Pisum sativum (pea) long non-coding RNA (PSAT_LNC023803)". The record is from RNAcentral. Lineage: Eukaryota; Viridiplantae; Streptophyta; Magnoliopsida; Fabales; Fabaceae.